UACGGGGGGGGCAAUCGUUGUUCGGAAUUACUGGGCGUAAAGGGCUCGUAGGCGGCCAACUAAGUCAGACGUGAAAUCCCCAGGCUCAACCUGGGAACUGCGUCUGAUACUGGAUGGCUUGAAUUCGGGAGAGGGAUGCAGAAUUCCAGGUGUAGCGGUGAAAUGCGUAGAUAUCUGGAGGAAUACCGGUGGCGAAGGCGGCAUCCUGGACCGACAUUGACGCUGAGGAGCGAAAGCUAGGGGAGCAAACGGG
Molecule: ribosomal RNA, 253 nt
Filed under: uncultured bacterium
Lineage: Bacteria
Description: partial 16S ribosomal RNA
Rfam family: Bacterial small subunit ribosomal RNA
Source: RNAcentral